This 702-nucleotide ribosomal RNA is filed under the name Weissella confusa. RNAcentral's name for it is "bacterial SSU rRNA". It matches the Rfam family "Bacterial small subunit ribosomal RNA", at positions 56 to 713 of the family's 1533-position model. Lineage: Bacteria; Bacillati; Bacillota; Bacilli; Lactobacillales; Lactobacillaceae. The record is from RNAcentral.
UGCAAGUCGACGCUUUGUGGUUCAACUGAUUUGAAGAGCUUGCUCAGAUAUGACGAUGGACAUUGCAAAGAGUGGCGAACGGGUGAGUAACACGUGGGAAACCUACCUCUUAGCAGGGGAUAACAUUUGGAAACAGAUGCUAAUACCGUAUAACAAUGACAACCGCAUGGUUGUUAUUUAAAAGAUGGUUCUGCUAUCACUAAGAGAUGGUCCCGCGGUGCAUUAGCUAGUUGGUAAGGUAAUGGCUUACCAAGGCGAUGAUGCAUAGCCGAGUUGAGAGACUGAUCGGCCACAAUGGGACUGAGACACGGCCCAUACUCCUACGGGAGGCAGCAGUAGGGAAUCUUCCACAAUGGGCGAAAGCCUGAUGGAGCAACGCCGCGUGUGUGAUGAAGGGUUUCGGCUCGUAAAACACUGUUGUAAGAGAAGAAUGACAUUGAGAGUAACUGUUCAAUGUGUGACGGUAUCUUACCAGAAAGGAACGGCUAAAUACGUGCCAGCAGCCGCGGUAAUACGUAUGUUCCAAGCGUUAUCCGGAUUUAUUGGGCGUAAAGCGAGCGCAGACGGUUAUUUAAGUCUGAAGUGAAAGCCCUCAGCUCAACUGAGGAAUUGCUUUGGAAACUGGAUGACUUGAGUGCAGUAGAGGAAAGUGGAACUCCAUGUGUAGCGGUGAAAUGCGUAGAUAUAUGGAAGAACACCAGU